RNAcentral lists this transfer RNA (73 nucleotides) under Prochlorococcus marinus str. MIT 1318. Its description in RNAcentral is "tRNA-Val". It matches the Rfam family "tRNA". Rfam says of the family: Transfer RNA (tRNA) molecules are approximately 80 nucleotides in length. Their secondary structure includes four short double-helical elements and three loops (D, anti-codon, and T loops). The record is from RNAcentral. RNAcentral also lists the same sequence under 1 other name. Lineage: Bacteria; Bacillati; Cyanobacteriota; Cyanophyceae; Synechococcales; Prochlorococcaceae.
GGGCGAUUAGCACAGUGGUAGCGCACUUCCUUCACACGGAAGGGGUCGUGGGUUCGAAUCCCGCAUCGCCCAC